RNAcentral lists this unclassified non-coding RNA (2433 nucleotides) under Hevea brasiliensis (rubber tree). The record is from RNAcentral. Lineage: Eukaryota; Viridiplantae; Streptophyta; Magnoliopsida; Malpighiales; Euphorbiaceae.
GCCUCCAGUUAAGGAUAAAUUAUCAAAAUACCAGGUAUAAUUAUAUUGUUUUUAUAGGUGGGGGUGCCCUUAGAGUCUUCAUCAGCAGAGCUGGAUUCAGGCUUCUUCAGUCUGCAGAUCCAAAACCAAUUUCUGGAACAAUCUCUCGAAGAUCGAGUUGUCACAGAAAAGAGCUUGAUGGUGAAAUAUGCGACUAUUUUGAAGUCUCCUAACAUCGACUAUAGACUCUUGAAACCUGAUUGUUCCUUGACAAAUGGAGAAUGCUGAAGUUAAAAAAUGGGAGCAGUACACAAAUGGGAUUGAUGCAACUUUUCAAGAUCUUCACGGACGUUAAUUCCAUGAAUAACUGCAGGCCCAUAGUUUUUUGUUCAUAUUCAGUUAGUUCGUGACUACCAGAUUAGCUUAAGUUGCCAAUGAUGUCAGUGUGAGAAGCGUUACUUCUCCUUUGUUCUUUUAUUAUUAUUUUUUUCAUUGCCCCUCUUUGUUUGUAUCUAAUAUUGUUGAGAAGAGACAAGGAGUUGAAAAUUAAGUUUCAUGUUUCUUUUCCUAUGUUUAUCCUUCGAUUUGGGAACAGAAAACUCAUGGUGCCAGUAGGGGUUCUGUUGUACUGCAGAUCAUAAGCAAUUAUCUAAUUUAGAGGAAACAAAAUUUGUGAACAUUAUUGCAUUGAAUUUCAAUGUUUGUUGCAAGUAUCAGACUGGAUUGUUUGGUAAAUAUGCGAAUUCAGCAUUUAACUUAGAAAAAAAUAAAAACAAUUCGGAACAUUUAGCAACUUAAACAAUAACGUGAACAGCAAUGUCAAACAACUCUUAUGACGGUCAUGGAGUUGGCCCAUAAAAUGAGCAACUCCAUCGGUAAUCAUGAAUGAGACAGCAAAUUCUGGGCAUUCUCAAUUACCAUUCACACAGCAACUAAACUCCAUAUCCCCAUCAAAAAGAACAGAAAACUAGGACGUUGCAGCCAUAAAUCAACACUGCCAGAUGCCUGAGACGGUUGAGACUUUGAGACGCACCCCCAAACUUUACAAGAACAUGACACCAAGCAGUAACCUAAGAACAUUGAUGGCCGUAUAUGUUUGCAAAUCUACAUUGCCUUAACACAUCCUCAAUUAUUCCACUUCUUCAUCUGAAAAAUCUGCAACCCAUCAAAUCAAAAAUAAGAAAAAGCAAACCAUUGUAAUCACAACUCAGGUUUGAUGGACGGAUUCAGAACUAACCAACACAUCCCAGAAAAUAAUCUCUCUGUUCUUAACCAAAUCUGAAAUUUCUCUACCAAUUAGUCUUAGCAGCUCAAUGAUAUUGAAGUCUUAGCACAGCCGUAAAGUGUCAAAUUUGAUCGAACCCAAUCUGGUAUUUGAAAUCCUUAAUAUUUAACCUCAAUUCAGUAUAUAAAGGAAAAAAAAAAACCCGUACCCAUUCACCGGCGAUCACCGCCACUGCCACGUUCCUUCUCAAUCUGCUGCCUCUGCUUCUCGGCGAGUUUUUCAAGAGCCGACUGCACUGCAUCUCGGCCGCCAAUAAGUAAUCGGGUCACGAUUUCCGGAUCCUUCUCGAACCGUGCCUCUUCGAACUCCUUCCUAGCGUUCUCCUGCAAUACAUCUCUCCACAAAACACCUCGAGAAUCGGGCCACAUGAAGAACCGGGUUGCCCGAAGGAUGUCUCGGUACAGAUGCAGUGCCUCUCGUCGGUUGGUGGUGAAUCGCUGCCGAUUCAGCAACUCUUCCUCCUCGUCAUCCAGCGAUUUCUCCUUCUUCGCAACGUGCCGGUCUAACAAUUCCUAUAUGGUAUCUGGGCCAUUGUGUAAGAGACGCUGAUUUGAAACAACGGCGCGUAAACAUUGAUAGAUUUCGGCAUUUCUUCAGCUUCGUGCUCAUCGUCCUUCCUCUCUCCGCCUUCUGUUUCUCCGAAUCUCCGCUGCUGACGCAGCUUGGGAAAAAUUGGUAAAUGGAGAAAAUUUUUCCUACACUAUUCUAAUCUAUGUCCUUGCCCACCUUGUAGUGGCCGACUCUCAAUGGUAUUGUUUGUGCUGAGGAGAUCUGAGUCGCCCUUUCUUUGUAUGUCCUUGGCACCUCCAAGGUUCUGUUGCAUCUCUUUGGCUGCUUGGAUUCUAGAACAACCCACCCGAUUUUCAUUUCGAGGAUAAUUUUUAUGGAUGUUCUUGUGCUGGUUUUAACCUUGGUUGACCUUUCUGCUCUCUUAGGUGAAAUUACAUCCUCUGGUUGAUUGGUAUGGCGACAGGGGUUGGGCUUUCCUGAUACAAGCUACUUUUUUUCUUUGAAUUGAAUCAUGGAUGGAAAGAGUACUGCGGGCUUGGACUUUGUUAUUUCUAUUGUCUACUAGUCAGGCUGUAUUUGUUUGUAACCUGUUAUGUUUGGCUGUUAUGUUUGGUCUUUGGCCAUGUACUAUUUCUGCAUAUUAAUGAUAAAUAUCUUUC